This is a non-coding RNA of Hyaena hyaena (striped hyena), 1379 nucleotides long. The record is from the annotation of a RefSeq genome assembly. Lineage: Eukaryota; Metazoa; Chordata; Mammalia; Carnivora; Hyaenidae.
UCUGGCCCAAGCACAGUCGUCUUCUUAUUGGCUGCUGGACACGUGGGAACCCGCUCUGACUGGUGGGGGAAAGAAGGGCUGGCCGGUACUGGAAGUAGCUGUGCGGGCUGGAGGAGGCAGUUCUGAAACUGAUGGUCACAGGGAGGAGCCAUGAGGGCGUCCCUGGGGACUUUCGUCCUGCUCUUGUGGCUGUCGCUGCACUGGCUCAGCCGAGGACAGAAGGUGGAGCAGCAUCCUUCCACCCUGAGUGUCCAGGAGGGAAGCAGCUCUGUUAUCACCUGUAGUUACUCAGACAGCGCCUCAGACUACUUCCCUUGGUAUAAGCAAGAACUUGGAAAAGGUCCCCAGCUCAUUAUAGACAUUCGUUCAAAUGUGGCCAGAAAAGAAGAGCAAAGACUCACUGUUUUAUUGAAUAAGACGACCAAGCAUCUGUCCCUGCACAUCGCAGCCACCCAGCCUGCAGACUCAGCGGUCUACUUCUGUGCAGCAAGUACACAUUGCGUCCCAGACACCUGCCGCCUGUGCUCAAACCUGCUACGGGGCAGCCCCUGUCCUUUGACACAGACCUUCAAGUAGGGAAUUUGUGCUAUUGUUUGUCUGCAGGCGGUAGCUGAUGUAUUAGAGAUAAAAGCAUAACAUAAGGCUCUUGGGCCCAAGAUGACCCAGACAGGGUUUGAACAUUUUCUUGGAUGAUUGCUGCUUAAUGUUUGAAGGGAGUUAGGAAGUUCUAUUUUGAAAAUCAGUUCUUAAAGGUAACUUUGCAUUUGCUAUUCAGACUCCUGUCAUACAAACAACUCCUUGGUAAAUUAUCACAUUCCUAUCAUGGAUUAGCUUUCAACUCUUGUCUUUCCAUUACUGCAGAUGUUAUUUUUGGUCUGUUAUAAAACAUUAGAUGCUAAAUAUAAAAAAUAUGUAAAAAGCAAAGUGUGAAAUUGAUCGUUGUGUACCCAGGUAUUUUAGUAUUAAUGUUUGGUUUACUCUCUUACAUUGUAAUAACUUGGAUUCUUUGUUUUUCCACUCAAUGUUAUAUCCUGGACUGAGCAUUCUCCUCUAACACCUGAGUUUUUAAUAGCUCUGUGAGAGAUUUUCAAGAGUCACAGUUAUAUUUUUAAUAAUCUUCCUCUUCUAUCUUUCUGGCAAAAUUUGGCAGUCCUUUUUAUGUGUUCUUAUUAUUUUCUUGUUGAGAUAAUGUGACCUGGGAUUUUUUGAGAGCCCAGUGAUGGUAUGUAAUUUAUGUGUAUUUGAGGGAAAUUAAAAGCAGAAGUGAUUUAUUCAAGAAUUUGAGUUGAGAACUAGACUCUUUUCAACAUUUUGUUAGUAUAUGUUCACAUUUACAUUCAUAUAAUUUAGAAGACAAAGUUGUGUCUUUAAUCAUUAUU